Molecule: microRNA precursor, 101 nt
Filed under: Branchiostoma floridae (Florida lancelet)
Lineage: Eukaryota; Metazoa; Chordata; Leptocardii; Amphioxiformes; Branchiostomatidae
Description: microRNA bfl-mir-31 precursor
Gene: bfl-mir-31
Rfam family: mir-31 microRNA precursor family (bases 8-89)
Source: miRBase by way of RNAcentral
UGACGGAGGGCGAGGAAAUGGCAAGAUGUUGGCAUAGCUGUUUGGAGUUCUGGGUCGGCUGUGCUGACAAACUGCCAUUUCCCGUUCACUCCUAUUACAAC